Homo sapiens (human) is the source of this 1957-nucleotide long non-coding RNA. RefSeq lists it as uncharacterized. Lineage: Eukaryota; Metazoa; Chordata; Mammalia; Primates; Hominidae. The record is from RefSeq and is a predicted model, not a curated record. The transcript has 2 exons.
UAGCCAGGAUGGUCUCGAUCUCCUGACUUCAUGAUCCGCCCACCUCGGCCUCCCAAAGUGCUGGGAUUACAGGGGCGAGCCACUGCGCCCAGCCUGAUCAUUUGUUUCUAACAAUCUGGGGGCUCGUCCGGAAUUCCCAUUCUCCUCUGAGAAAAGGGUCUCCAGUCACCAAUAGUGAGGAGAAGCAUCCCACUGCCUCAUUGAGGUGGCCUCAUGGUGAGGGAUCAGGACCCACCCAGUGUGAUGAAUAAACCCGGACUCUCAGCAGUCUGGAAAGGAACAGACCAACAACUUAAGAGAAAAGGAUCCUCACAUACCAUGGUGACCAGGACUAAAGGCCUCUUGGCACAUACACCACCCCUUGAAUUUCCAGUUCACCACCACCAGCCCGGACAGUGAUCACAUUCUCAUCAGAGGUCAGAAAGAAAGGAAGCUCAAGCCCACCUGGGAGGGACAUUAUCUAGUGUUUCUAAUGACUGAGACAGCCGUCCACACCACUGAAAAAGAAUGGACUCACCAUACCUGAGUCAAAAGAGCACCACCCACUCCAGAAUCAUGGACAGCUAUUUCAGGGCCAAUUCCAACCAAGUUAAAGCUAAAACGGGUUUGAUCCUCUUAUGCUAUAUUUCUUUUCCCCUUCUAUUGCUAGUCCUCUCGUUAUUAAUGUAACUAGGUCGAGCUCACCCCAAACUAUUACCUUUGAUGCUUGCCUUGUUAUAUCCUGUGGAGAUCUCCAAAGUCAAAAGCAACUCUCAGCCUCAGAGAAGUAUCUCCGUCCCUUUCAGACAAAAGCCUCCCCCAUUACGACUCUUGUUCCUUAAGAAAUGUAGGGAAACAGGCCUGCCACAGCUGGAAUGAUAUUAUGUGGACAACUGAACAUCAGGGCUUUGUCAACAGGCAGUUGUAAGUCUCUAAAACCAUGUUUGCUUUGUUAAAGGAAACAUUCCCCACCCCGACUGCCAGUAUAACCAAUGUAAUCCAGUGCAAAUUUCUAUUCUUAUCCCCACUUCUGCCAACCCUAAACCUACUUUAAGUCGCUUAUACGGCAUAGGAGCCAAAAUAGCAGGGACACAUCUUAUAGAAUCCUUUGAAAUGCAUUUCAUUACUUUCUCACCUCCUCCACCUCCUUCUACACUCUCUCUCAACGAAACCACUGUUCUUCCUUCAACCAAGGAUAAAAUCAAGGUAAGCCAUUGUAGAAGUUAAAAAUUUGAAACAAACCAUAGCAACUGAGACAGGGUACCAAGAUGCAAAUGCUUGGUUAGAAUGGAUUAAAUAUUCUGUCCGCACUCUAAACAAAAGCAACUGUUACACUUGUGCGCACAGUAGGCCAGAGGCCCAGGUUGUCCCCUUUCCACUCGGAUGGUCUUCCAGCCAACUGGGCAUGAGCUGUAUGGUAGCUCUUCUCCAAGACCCCACAGCCUGGGGUAAUGAAUCUUGCCAAGCUCUCUCUCUGCUAUUCCCUAAAGUCCAACACCCUGCAGGUCAGUCCCUGAGGGCCAUCCAGCCUCCAUCUAUUGACACCAAUUUUUACCUCGGGUCUCUCACAACAAGGGGAAAACUUGGCAUUUCAUGAAGACCUAAAGGGAUGCGGUGAACUUAAACUCUCCCAAGAGCUUACCAGUCAGUCUGCCCUUGUUCAUCCUCGAGCAUACGUAUGGUGGUAUUGUGGUGGACCCUUACUGGACACUCUGCCAAGUAACUGGAGUGGUACUUGUGCUCUAGUCCAACUGGCCAUCCCUUUCACCCUAGCAUUCCAUUAACAUAAUAGAAGAGAAAAUCAGAAGAGAAGAAGUGACCUUCAUGGGUCCUUUGACUCCCACGUUUAUAAAGAUGCUACUGGAGUUCCACGAGGGGUACCAGAUAAAUUUAAGGCCCGAAAUCAAACAGCUUCAGGAUUUGAAUCUGUGCUGUUUUGGUGGUCAACUGUAAAUAAAAAUGUAGAUUGGAUAAACUA